GACGAACGCUGGCGGCGCGCCUAACACAUGCAAGUCGUACGAGCGAGAGAGAGCUUGCUUUCUCGAGCGAGUGGCGAACGGGUGAGUAACGCGUGAGGAACCUGCCUCAAAGAGGGGGACAACAGUUGGAAACGACUGCUAAUACCGCAUAAGCCCACGGCUCGGCAUCGAGCAGGGGGAAAAGGAGCAAUCCGCUUUGAGAUGGCCUCGCGUCCGGUUAGCUAGUUGGUGAGGUAACGGCCCACCAAGGCGACGAUCGGUAGCCGGACUGAGAGGUUGAACGGCCACAUUGGGACUGAGACACGGCCCAGACUCCUACGGGAGGCAGCAGUGGGGAAUAUUGCACAAUGGGGGAAACCCUGAUGCAGCGACGCCGCGUGGAGGAAGAAGGUCUUCGGAUUGUAAACUCCUGUUGUUGGGGAAGAUAAUGACGGUACCCAACAAGGAAGUGACGGCUAACUACGUGCCAGCAGCCGCGGUAAAACGUAGGUCACAAGCGUUGUCCGGAAUUACUGGGUGUAAAGGGAGCGCAGGCGGGAAGACAAGUUGGAAGUGAAAUCUAUGGGCUCAACCCAUAAACUGCUUUCAAAACUGUUUUUCUUGAGUAGUGAAGAGGUAGGCGGAAUUCCCGGUGUAGCGGUGGAAUGCGUAGAUAUCGGGAGGAACACCAGUGGCGAAGGCGGCCUACUGGGCACCAACUGACGCUGAGGCUCGAAAGUGUGGGUAGCAAACAGGAUUAGAUACCCUGGUAGUCCACACCGUAAACGAUGA
RNAcentral lists this ribosomal RNA (771 nucleotides) under uncultured bacterium. RNAcentral's name for it is "bacterial SSU rRNA". It matches the Rfam family "Bacterial small subunit ribosomal RNA", at positions 28 to 812 of the family's 1533-position model. The record is from RNAcentral.